Molecule: ribosomal RNA, 451 nt
Filed under: uncultured bacterium
Lineage: Bacteria
Description: bacterial SSU rRNA
Rfam family: Bacterial small subunit ribosomal RNA
Source: RNAcentral
UCGGGAAUUUUGGGCAAUGGGCGAAAGCCUGACCCAGCAACGCCGCGUGAUGGAUGAAGUCCCUAGGGACGUAAACAUCUUUUAUGAGGGAGAAAGUUUAUUGAUAGUACCUCACGAAUAAGGGGCUCCUAACUCUGUGCCAGCAGGAGCGGUAAUACAGAGGCCCCAAGCGUUAUCCGGAAUCACUGGGCGUAAAGGGUGUCGAGGCGGUUGUAUUAGUCGUUCGUAAAAUCUACGAGCUUAACUUGUAGGCGGCGAACGAAACGGUACGACUUGAGGUUUGGAGAGGUGCGUGGAACUCACGGUGUAGGGGUGAAAUCCGUUGAUAUCGUGGGGAACACCAAAGGCGAAGGCAGCGCACUGGCCAAAAUCUGACGCUCACACACGAAAGCUAGGGUAGCGAAGAGGAUUAGAUACCCUCGUAGUCCCUGAGCGGGCUGGCAAGGCGCAU